Long non-coding RNA from Musa acuminata AAA Group (dessert banana), 1755 nucleotides. RefSeq lists it as uncharacterized. The record is from RefSeq and is a predicted model, not a curated record. The transcript has 3 exons. Lineage: Eukaryota; Viridiplantae; Streptophyta; Magnoliopsida; Zingiberales; Musaceae.
UCUUCCCCUUCUGCUACCACGGCGACGGUGGUAAGAGCUGAAGAACCCUCGUGCGGUUGUCGUCUCUCUUGUGUUUCUACCUCAUAUAUUUGUGGGAUUCCGUUCAGGGUUUGUGAUCCGUGGCCAUCAUGAAUGGAGGAUUUGAUUGGAAUUGUACAUUUUGGCUACUAAAAACUACAUCAAUUUGGCGUGAUGUCGCAGCUAUUUGGGUCGGAAAACGUACCUAGUUAAAGUGAAUGCAGUCAGAUCACCUUUCUUGUUUCGAGCAGAGAUCUCAUAGCUUGGUGUGCCUUCUGUUUGCACGUCGAAUUCGUGCUUUUGAUUCAGUCAAAAUAUCAUCUAAGGUUGCAAGCAAGAAUGCUACCUUUUGCUUUUAUGAGAACAAAAUAUCAAAAGGAUGCGACAACAAAAUCCUAUUGGCAGAACAUGUGACACCAUUUUUCAUGGCUUGACUACCUCUUGGAAGCGCAUUUGGUUGUUUGCGGGGAGAUCUGUAGUUGUUUGAUUAAAUUACAGUGACUGAAUCAUUACAGUGUUUACAUGCUGGACACCUCCUGUCCUCCAUUGCCCUUCAAAUAAAGUGAUUGGUGCAAUCACAGUUCCCCAUGGCCUGACAACACCAGCAGCAAGAGGAUGGGAGGUGGUCUCUUGCAAAUGUAAAUGGAAGGGAUGCCUACUGCACAUAGAAAUGGAACAUGUACGUGUCAGAGAAGGGAAUCGAACUGGAUUAAGAUUAACAGAUUUGCUUUGCAUCUUGUUGGCUCCUGCUCUUUAUUCUGGUGAGUGAUGGAAUCCAAUUAUUGGGCAUUGGUGGCGUACAAACUCCUAAUAUUGUAUUCUAUCAACCUCAAUAAUGUGUACAACCAUUCAUCCUUCAGCCUGAAGGAUCAGAAUGAGUAGGUGAAUGGUUCCUGAUCGAGUCUCAUCUGAUUCUGAUAUCUUGCAGUAGGAUUUCCGAGUGGAAAUGUAUUUGGUACUACAGGAGAUUAUGCAGCGCUAUAUUUUGCACCUUUGCACAGCGUUCUCUGGAUCAGAGCAAGUGACUUGAUCCAUUGUUUGUUUGAUUUAAUAUAUGUUUUGUGGCUGACAUAGAUCUACCAACAACUGGCUUUAACAUUAGCAUUCUGAUCUCAGUUCUUGAGGAUUUCCAUGCUGUCCUCAGGUUGCUCUUCCAGCAUUUGAAUUUGAAUUCCUUCCUUGUUUCCAUCAUGGGCUGCAGCAUCCUUUUCUUUACUAUAUAACUCUGUACCAGCAAGCAGAGGAGAAAAGUUUGGGGACGUUCUCUUCUAAUUUCUCUGCUUUGAGAUGCAGGAAAGCUGCAGUGUUUAUUUUAAUGUUGGACAUCACUGAUGGAAGCAGGGAGGAGAUCAGUAACAAGUGUGACAAGAUUGGAUCUACAGAAACAGGAAUGGGAUGGACAUCCACAUAAACUGACUAAUUGCUAGAGUUAUCCCCUCCUCCUUAUCUCGAUAUGGAUAUAAAGGAUAUACCAUCAAUAUGCAUACAAUGACUCAAAUCUUGAUUUCCUAAGUGGUAAAUUUAGAAGAAGAAAUUGAUAUAUGUCAAUUUUGACAUGGAUCCUAUACAAAGAAAGAAUCUCCAGCUAAAAGAAGACUGUUGACAAGAAGCAAUGGGAUAUCUCUGCAUCAAAGAAUGCAUGUUUAAUGAUGUAUCUAUCCUUUGUACAAAUAGCUUGGCUAUAUGUGUCUUCUAUCUAGACAAUCAUGAAGGUGUCAAGUUUAAGUUUGACUUGUA